AUUGGGGGGGGGGCCUAAUACAUGCAAGUCGAACGAACUCUGGUAUUGAUUGGUGCUUGCAUCAUGAUUUACAUUUGAGUGAGUGGCGAACUGGUGAGUAACACGUGGGAAACCUGCCCAGAAGCGGGGGAUAACACCUGGAAACAGAUGCUAAUACCGCAUAACAACUUGGACCGCAUGGUCCGAGUUUGAAAGAUGGCUUCGGCUAUCACUUUUGGAUGGUCCCGCGGCGUAUUAGCUAGAUGGUGGGGUAACGGCUCACCAUGGCAAUGAUACGUAGCCGACCUGAGAGGGUAAUCGGCCACAUUGGGACUGAGACACGGCCCAAACUCCUACGGGAGGCAGCAGUAGGGAAUCUUCCACAAUGGACGAAAGUCUGAUGGAGCAACGCCGCGUGAGUGAAGAAGGGUUUCGGCUCGUAAAACUCUGUUGUUAAAGAAGAACAUAUCUGAGAGUAACUGUUCAGGUAUUGACGGUAUUUAACCAGAAAGCCACGGCUAACUACGUGCCAGCAGCCGCGGUAAUACGUAGGUGGCAAGCGUUGUCCGGAUUUAUUGGGCGUAAAGCGAGCGCAGGCGGUUUUUUAAGUCUGAUGUGAAAGCCUUCGGCUCAACCGAAGAAGUGCAUCGGAAACUGGGAAACUUGAGUGCAGAAGAGGACAGUGGAACUCCAUGUGUAGCGGUGAAAUGCGUAGAUAUAUGGAAGAACACCAGUGGCGAAGGCGGCUGUCUGGUCUGUAACUGACGCUGAGGCUCGAAAGUAUGGGUAGCAAACAGGAUUAGAUACCCUGGUAGUCCAUACCGUAAACGAUGAAUGCUAAGUGUUGGAGGGUUUCCGCCCUUCAGUGCUGCAGCUAACGCAUUAAGCAUUCCGCCUGGGGAGUACGGCCGCAAGGCUGAAACUCAAAGGAAUUGACGGGGGCCCGCACAAGCGGUGGAGCAUGUGGUUUAAUUCGAAGCUACGCGAAGAACCUUACCAGGUCUUGACAUACUAUGCAAAUCUAAGAGAUUAGACGUUCCCUUCGGGGACAUGGAUACAGGUGGUGCAUGGUUGUCGUCAGCUCGUGUCGUGAGAUGUUGGGUUAAGUCCCGCAACGAGCGCAACCCUUAUUAUCAGUUGCCAGCAUUAAGUUGGGCACUCUGGUGAGACUGCCGGUGACAAACCGGAGGAAGGUGGGGAUGACGUCAAAUCAUCAUGCCCCUUAUGACCUGGGCUACACACGUGCUACAAUGGAUGGUACAACGAGUUGCGAACUCGCGAGAGUAAGCUAAUCUCUUAAAGCCAUUCUCAGUUCGGAUUGUAGGCUGCAACUCGCCUACAUGAAGUCGGAAUCGCUAGUAAUCGCGGAUCAGCAUGCCGCGGUGAAUACGUUCCCGGGCCUUGUACACACCGCCCGUCACACCAUGAGAGUUUGUAACACCCAAAGUCGGUGGGGUAACCUUUUAGGAACCAGCCGCCUUAAAGGUGGGACCG
This 1473-nucleotide ribosomal RNA is filed under the name Lactiplantibacillus plantarum. Its description in RNAcentral is "bacterial SSU rRNA". It matches the Rfam family "Bacterial small subunit ribosomal RNA". Lineage: Bacteria; Bacillati; Bacillota; Bacilli; Lactobacillales; Lactobacillaceae. The record is from RNAcentral.